Molecule: transfer RNA, 58 nt
Filed under: Betaproteobacteria bacterium
Lineage: Bacteria; Pseudomonadati; Pseudomonadota; Betaproteobacteria
Description: tRNA-Ala
Rfam family: tRNA
About the family: Transfer RNA (tRNA) molecules are approximately 80 nucleotides in length.
Source: RNAcentral
AGCUCAGCUGGGAGAGCGUCUGGUUCGCAAUCAGAAGGUCGGGAGUUCGAUCCUCCUA